GGAGUGGACACACUGCCCGGGACCUUGCCCAGUUGGGACUCCAGAUUGCUGUUUUCGGGACUUCCCAGGGCCAUUCAAGUCUGGAUGCCCAGCUUACAAAGCAGUGUAUCAGAAUUACCUGUGGGGUAAACAAACAAACAGCAGCAGAAGAAGCACCAAUAUGGCUGUUCCCUGACAACAGAGAAUGUGAAGGAGAAGGUCAGGAGAAGAAUGAACAGAUUAUCUUCAUGUGCAAGGAAAACUGACUUCCUUUUCUUGAAGGCAAGGCCUCUGCUGCUGGUGACGGGACAUCCAACAACUUCCAGCCCUGG
Molecule: long non-coding RNA, 311 nt
Organism: Eubalaena glacialis (North Atlantic right whale)
Lineage: Eukaryota; Metazoa; Chordata; Mammalia; Artiodactyla; Balaenidae
Exons: 3
Source: RefSeq, a predicted model, not a curated record